This 1815-nucleotide long non-coding RNA is filed under the name Sus scrofa (pig). RNAcentral's name for it is "lncRNA (ENSSSCG00005013368.1)". Lineage: Eukaryota; Metazoa; Chordata; Mammalia; Artiodactyla; Suidae. The record is from RNAcentral.
UUGGGCUGAAGGAAGGGCAUUCCUCUUUGUAAAGUUUUGGUUAAUACCAUAUGGCCAAGCAACAUACUCCCUUCCUCUCUCCACUUUAUCAUUACAAAAAAAAAAAAAAAACCUGCAGAUUGAGACUGUGGGAGGUGACAUUUUUUCAUUUCUCAGAAAUCCUCCAUAAGGCCGAGUAGAGAAACAGAAAGAGGGAAACAGCUUAGUGUCGAAAUGAGGUUUUCUCUCUGUGUUUUGAAAUGAGGUGGCUUGUUUUCAGCUUUAAGGAACAACAGCUCUGUAGAGGAGAGUGGUAAUGGUGGAGGGAGUGGUUGGUUACCUGCUUUCUUGACCCUUUCCCCCACCUCAAAGUUUGGUAGUUGGGGUCAGGUCUGAAACAGGAUAGUGGUUUUGUGUCUUCCUUUCCUUCUGGUGAACCACGGUAGAUACAUCAACCCAUCAUGGUGCUACUGAGCAAAAGAAAACUUCUACUUCAAAAUAAGGAUUUGAUGAGCAAUCGCAGAAAUAGUUUUUUUUGUUUGUUUGUUUUGUUUUGUUUUGUUUUUAGGGCCACACACGCAGCAUAUGGAAGUUCCUGGGCUACGAGUCCAGUCAGAACUGCAGCUGCUGGCCUUUGCCACAGCCACAGCAUGUUGCCGUGAGCUGUGGUAUAGGUCGCAGACGCAGCUCAGAUCUGGCGUUGCUGUGGCUGUGGUGUAGGCCGGUGGCUACAGCUCCAAUUAGACCCCUAGCCUGGGAACUGCCAUAUGCCAUGAGUGCGGCCCUAGAAAAGGCAAAAAAAAACAAAAACAAAAAAAGAAAAAAUAUUUAGACAGGAUUUUCCUAAAAUGAGGAAAAGUCUUGAAAGACAUUUGAAAACAACAAAAACACUUAAUCCCAUCCAAGUUAUGGAUCACUGUCACCCAGAAAACUGUGUAUUUUGAUAAAGGGUGAUCUAUGGGACUGAAAUUGAGUAACAGAACCAAGGAUUUAGAAUUUUAAAAUUGAAAAAGACUAGGUCUCAGGCCCUAAUUUUCUCCCCUGUAAACUGGAUUCAGUUGUCUUCCCCAUCUUAUUGUGAAGAUUUAAAGAAAGAGUACAUGGCAAGUGCUUUACCUUAAAUCGCUGCACAAACAGAAGGAAUUUUGGGAAAUGUCCCUUAAAGGUCUGCUCUAUUAGCAACCUAUUUUUGCUAUUAUUAUUGCUAUUAUUGCAACCUAUUAUUGUUAUUAUUAAACCUCUAUUAGCAUGUUCAAGUCCUUGAAUUCCCAGGGAGAAUACCCUUAGAAGCUGACGUCAAUAGAUAGCAUGUUGAAUUAAAAGGUUCUACAGGAGUUGUCUUUGUGGCUCAGUGGUUAACGAACCCAACUAGGAUCCAUGAGGAUUUGGGUUCAAUCCCUGGCCUUGCUCAGUGGGUUAAGGAUCUGGCAUUGCCGUAAGCUGUUGUGUAGGUAGCAGACGUGGCUCAGAUCCAGUGCUGCUGGGGCUGUGGUGUAGGCUGAUGGCUGCAGCUCCGACUCGACCCCUAGCCUGGGAACUUCCAUAUGCCACAGGUGCGGCCCUUUAAGAAAAAAAAAAAUAGGUUCUACAGCCUACAGCUGUAUUUUGGAGCAGAGGAGACACAACGGGACUUCUGUGGCUGGGCAGAGGGAGAAUUCAACCAGAUGGAAGAAAUCCCAGAGGUAAGUAAACUCCCUGCCUGCCAAACCUGCCCUUUUACCUGUUUCUGUACAGCUUAAAAGCUAAGAAUGCUUUUUGCAUGUUUAAAUGGUUGAAAAAAAGAAUAUUCAGGUGACACGAAGUUAAAAUUUCAAUGUCAAAUAAAACUUGAAACCC